GCGUUGGUGGUUUGGUGGUAGAAUUCACGCCUUCCACACAGGAGACCUGGGUUCGAUUUCCGGCCAGUGCA
Molecule: transfer RNA, 71 nt
Filed under: Loxodonta africana (African savanna elephant)
Lineage: Eukaryota; Metazoa; Chordata; Mammalia; Proboscidea; Elephantidae
Rfam family: tRNA
About the family: Transfer RNA (tRNA) molecules are approximately 80 nucleotides in length. Their secondary structure includes four short double-helical elements and three loops (D, anti-codon, and T loops).
Source: Rfam by way of RNAcentral